UGGGGAAUUUUGGACAAUGGGCGCAAGCCUGAUCCAGCAAUGCCGCGUGCAGGAUGAAGGCCUUCGGGUUGUAAACUGCUUUUGUACGGAACGAAAAAGCUCUCUCUAAUACAGGGGGUGAAUGACGGUACCGUAAGAAUAAGCACCGGCUAACUACGUGCCAGCAGCCGCGGUAAUACGUAGGGUGCAAGCGUUAAUCGGAAUUACUGGGCGUAAAGCGUGCGCAGGCGGUUUUGUAAGACAGAGGUGAAAUCCCCGGGCUCAACCUGGGAACUGCCUAUGUGACUGCAAAGCUGGAGUGCGGCAGAGGGGGAUAGAAUUCCGCGUGUAGCAGUGAAAUGCGUAGAUAUGCGGAGGAACACCGAUGGCGAAGGCAAUCCCCUGGGCCUGCUCUGACGCUCAUGCACGAAAGCGUGGGGAGCAAACA
RNAcentral lists this ribosomal RNA (427 nucleotides) under uncultured bacterium. Its description in RNAcentral is "bacterial SSU rRNA". It matches the Rfam family "Bacterial small subunit ribosomal RNA", at positions 355 to 774 of the family's 1533-position model. The record is from RNAcentral.